AUGUGUCACUGCCCCUGUGAAGUUCUUGAUGAUUCCAAAUUUGAGGCCACCAUCACUCGCAUAGGAGAGAAGAAACGUGGGAUUUCACAUGAAAUUGUUACCAAGAGGGUAGAGGAGAAAAGGAAGCUUGGGGCAGACCAGCCCAUUGUGGGGACCAGGGUCUGUGUCACAGACCAGGGUCUGUAUCACCAUGUCGCCUGGAUUCCUGUCCUCUUCAUGCUCCUGUCUCUCUGCAAAGGAUCUUUGUCCCAGCCUGUGCUGACCCAGCUGCCCUCACUCUCUGCAUCUCCGGGAACAACAGUCAGACUCACCUGCACCCUGAGCAGGGACAUCAGUGUUGGUAGUAAAAACAUGUACUGGUACCAGCAGAAGCCAGGGAGCCCUCCCCAGUAUCUCUUGUACUACUACUCAAGUACAGAGCUGGGACCUGGGAUUCCCAGUCGCUUCUCUGGCUCCAAGGAUACCUCGGCCAAUGCAGGGCUUCUGCUCAUCUCUGGGCUGCAGCCUGAAGACGAGGCUGACUAUUACUGUGCAGUCUGGCACAGUGGUGCUGGUCACAGUGACACACACAGAUGGGGAAGUGGGACAAAUACCUCAGCCUGCUCAGACUCUUGUGCUAUGACUUUCUUCCAAUUUAAAAUAACUAGAGUUCACACUGACUAUACUUGGAAGUAA
Non-coding RNA from Lontra canadensis (Northern American river otter), 675 nucleotides. The record is from the annotation of a RefSeq genome assembly. NCBI's taxonomy places the organism in Eukaryota, Metazoa, Chordata, Mammalia, Carnivora, Mustelidae.